RNAcentral lists this long non-coding RNA (13397 nucleotides) under Carica papaya (papaya). RNAcentral describes it as "long non-coding RNA (CPAP_LNC006708)". The record is from RNAcentral. Lineage: Eukaryota; Viridiplantae; Streptophyta; Magnoliopsida; Brassicales; Caricaceae.
UGCCAAUAUUCUCUACAAUUAAUUUUACAAUACAAAACACAGUUAAAGAUACUAGUAAAAGUAAUUUUACCGAAAAACUAUGUCAUUAGCAGCUUUAUAACUCCCACAUCAAUCAGAUCAUUCUGUUCCUCUCUGUGAUAGUGCUAUCUAAAUAAGAAUAUCUUUAAAAUAAAAAAACCCUCCGGAAAAUCACAGAAAGAAAUUUCGGUUUCAACUAAAAUUCUAUAUAUAGAUUAUAUAUACAUAUAUAUAGAAUAUCUUGCAGACAGAGAAACAGAGACAGCAGCCAAGUGAUUACAGAAGAAGAACAUAAGCAGGUGAAAUUCUGAUAUCCUAUCUCAUAUAAUAUAUGCAAAUCGAAAUCUUUGUAGAUGGAGAAACAUAGAGGAAGUGAUUUAACAAAAGUGAGAAUACGAGCAUCUGGAGAAAAUCUUGUCUCCGUAGCUUAGAGAAAAUUUAAACCAGAGAAUCUCAGAAAACACUUCUAACUCUACUGAAAUGCUCACACAGAAAGUACACAUCGAAUUCUGUAUAUAUCGAGAAACAGAGAAACGAAGUGACUAACAGAGUGAGAAUAUGAACACCUGGAGAGACUCCUCCCUGUAGCUUAUAGCAAACUAAAGAAAAAAAAUCUGAAAAAACAAUUUCAAGUUCUACUGAACUUCUAAUUUCUUACACACACAACAUAUCUGGAUUUUGUAUAGAUCGAGAAACAGAGAAUCGAAGUGAUUAACAGAGUGAUAAAACGAACAUCUGGAGAAAUCUCUAUAGCAUAUGCCGUUUUGAAGAAGAAAAUGUCAGAAAACAAUUUCGAACGCUUCUGUUAUUUUUAAAUACGCAAUAUACAAUGGAUUCAGAAACAGAAAACCGACGUGAUCAACAGAGUGACCAAAUGAACGACCUGGAGAGAAUCUACCUCCCCAUAGCUUAUAACAAACUAAAGGAAAAAUUCUGAAGGAACAAUUUCGAAUUCUACCGAAAUUCUAAUUUCUUACACACACCAUAUAUUAGGUUCAGUAUAGAUCGAGAAACGGAGAAUCGAAGUGAUUAACAGAGUGAGAAAAUGAAAAUCUGGAGAAAUCUCCAUAGCUUAUAGCAAUUUAAAGAAGAAAAAGUCAAAAAACAAUUUCAAACUCUACUGAAAUUCUUACACACACAACAUAUACGGGAUUCAGAAACAGAGAAGCAAAGUGAUUAACAGAGUGAGAAAAUAAACAUCUGGAGAAAUCUUCAGAGCUUAUAGCGAUUUAGAAAAGAAAGUCAAAAAACCAAUUUCAAACUCUACUGAAAUUCUAACACACACACAACAUAUCGGAUUCAUAGACAGAGAAACAAAGCGAUUAACAGAGCGAGAAUAUGAACACCUUGAGAAAAAAAAUAGAUGGAGACAGAGAGAGCGAAACACAAUACCUUCGCCACAGCCGAGCUUGGUGCCCUUAAAGCGAGUGCGCGAACGCAGGAACUCGAGCAAAGUUGUGGAAGGAUCAACACUGGAGAGCUCAAACCUCUCACCAUUAAUGGAAAACAAGAGAUUGUUAUCUUUGCCGGUUGCCGCUUCAGAUUCGCUUCCCAUUUUUUUUGUGCGUCGGGAAUUGAAUCCAGAAUGUGCUGGUAUUUUUCCAGUAAAAAGCAGAGCUGAUAAAUGGUGAAUGUUGCCAGCGUCAACGUACGUGACGACGAAUCCUGUCCGCUCUCGUUGAUUGGAUCAAAUGGAAAAUUGAAGUAGUUUUUAUAGAGCGAGGGGAAUCACUAGAGUUACUGUCUGUCUGUCACCGGCACAAGUUUGUCUUCUUCCAUCUGGAAUCUAACAGGUAAGAAUCGAAUAGGACUAAGAACAGAAUAAGAGAAGGAUUCUUUUUAGUGUAGAAAACAUCCAAAUUGAUGAAAUUAUUAUUAUUUUUUAAAAAAAAUAUUAUUUCAAUUAAAAAAUUAAAACGCUUACUAAAUAUAAUAUCCCGAAUCUCAAUAACGAAGCACAAACGCACUCAUAUCACUUUCCAAUUAAUAAGACCCGUAAUUCAUACAUACGCGUAACUUAAAAAUUUAAUACAAAAUAAAACCAUCUCUUGUUAUAUAAACUCUAAUAUCGAUGAAUACGGAUGUUUGCACAAUAUUUUCGUAAUUAAAAUUCAAGUUGUUACAUUAAAAAUUAACAGAAAUUAUAUUUUUUUAAUUCAUUCUAGUUCGAUUUAAAUAUUAAAUUAAAAUAAACUGAAUUUUUAAUCGAGUCUAAAUUAAAAAAUAAAUAUUAUUAAUUACAUGUUUGGUAAUGUAUAGUUAAGAGAAUAAAUUAUUAGAUAAUUUAUUUUUAUUUAUUUAUAAGUAUCCUAAAUUAUGAUUUGUAAGUAAAUUAUUCAACUGUUUAUUUAUAAAUAAGUUAUUUAAUUAUUUACUCUUAACUAAAAUGGAAUGAAUUUACAAAAAUAAAAUAAAAUAAAGUUGUGUGAUUUACUAUUAAAACCAUCUUUACAUAUUUAUAUUGUUUCUUGGGUGAAUUUUUUUGUAGUAUCUCUGAAUUAUUAAAAAAAAUAAAAAAAAAAAGAAAUUAAAGAAUUUUCACUGAAAUUUGGGAAGAUAAUUUGUUCCAUUAUUUUUUUUUCUCUCAAUUUUCUAAAUUCUUUUUUUUUAAAUGAAUUUUUAAUAUAUUUUUUUAAAAAAAUACCGAUUAUAUUUAAAAAUAAUUUUAAUCACCCGAUUAUAUAUAUUUUAUGUGUACAUUUUCUCUACUCAUUAUUUUGAAAAAGGAGCACCUUACAUUCUUGAAUCGAUAGCUAUUUUUUUGACUAAUUUAGUCUUCUCUAUCUCUCGGGACCAAUAAGAAUAGUAUAUGAAUAUUUAUUUAUUAUCUAUCGAUUACGCCUUUCAGUUUGAUUUUGGACCCUAAUUCAUCUUCUGUUGAUGAAUAUAUAAAAAAUCCUUGGAUUUUUGGGGGCAUUGGAUUCUCAUCAAUAUUUGCGUUAUUCAAGUUGCUUUUGCCUAAGACAAAACACUCCUCUGCCAAUGCAUUUUUACACCCCCACAACUUUGACAUAUUACUUAGCUUUGUUUAUCUUCUACGCAAGAACACUCGAUCUGUGAAUUAUUACAUAUUCUUUUAAGAGUGAUUAUUUCUAAACAAAUUUUCUAACUGUUUUUACGCUCCUACCUCUUUUAUUACUGGGCAAUCAUUAAGGGUAUUAAUUAGUGAUCCGUGUUAUUUUCCUCUCAACGAUGAAGCUUAUCCUUCAUUGUCUCACUGACCGAUCUUGACUCUUGUUAUUUUGAGGUCAUAUAUUUUUUUUAGGUACUUUUCAAAGAUUAUUUUAAAAUCUCUUAGCCUCAUUCAUCUUCUACACAUUUUUUUAAUAGUGGUUGUUUAUACACAAACCUCUUAACUGUUUAUGCAUCAUCACAUCCUUUAUUACUAAGCAGUCAUUUAGGGAUCUUAACUGAUGAUGCAGAUUGUUUUCUUUCAACAAUAAAGUUUAUUUCUCAUCAUUUUACUGAAUUGAUUUCUGUUAUUUUAAUAUUAUAUAUUUUUUUAGACUUUUUUGACUAAAUUUAAGUAUAAAAAUCAAAUUCUAAAAUUUAAUUAUUUUAAGACUUAGGCUACUUUUUUAAAAGAUAAUUUAGUCAAAGUUAUUUUAUUCGCAUUAAAAUUAAAAAAUUUAUUAAAAAAUUAUAAAAAUCGUAAUCCAAUCUGUACUUCAAAAAAUUAAGACUAAAAUACAAAAAAAAAAUAUAUUUCUCAAUAAUCAAAGGUAUUUUAUUCGCAUCAAAAUUAAAAAAUUUAUUAAAAAAUUAUAAAAAUCGUAAUCCAAUCUGUACUUCAAAAAAUUAAGACUAAAAUACAAAAAAAAAAAUAUUUCUCAAUAAUUUAUGUAUAGACAAAUAGAUGGAAAAAUAAUUGAAGAAAGUAAGUAAACAGAUGACGUAAGAACAGCAGUCAUCAUUGACUAAAAAAUCUAAGUCAACAAUUAGAAAUGGUUAAUUAUGUAUAAAUUUUAUUUAAAAAUUAUUAAAAUCAUAUUAUAUACAUUAUUAUUUUUUGUACUCAUAUUUACGUAGUUGAUUAUCAAUUUGAUACAUAUAAAUAUUUAUUAAUAUUAUAAAUUAAAAAAUAGAGUAAAUUUUAAUCUAAUAUUUUGUUUUUGAAAAUUUUCAAUUUAGGAAUUUAUAAAUAAAAGUUCCACUCAUGCCUUAAAUUUUAUUAAAAAAAUUUAUAAAAAUAUUUAAUUUUCUUCUAAUAAUACAAAAUAUUUAAUUUAAUUUUUAAAAUUUUAAAAUUAAAAUUAAAAAUCAUUUAAAUUAAAACUUUUUUUCAUUUAUACGAUAUUUCUAUCUUCAAAUCGUUGAAAUUGACAUUUAAAAUAUGUAUAAUUUUAUUUUUCAUCUUUUAGAAUAAGUCCGGUAUAUAUUUCGUGUCUAAAUUCUUUUGGUCAGGAUUCUCUUGCGUACAUCAACAAAAGAUUAACCAGAAAAUACAAAAACCAGUCUUCUAAAAUCUACCCUAUUUUUAUCAAAAAGGGUUUGAGGAUAAGACCAUGUUUGGAAUUACCCAAAAACUCAAUUUGUAGAUUUUUUUCAGGUGUCUAAUAACUAAAAUAAGUGCAAUAUUUUAAGUGAUUUUUCACAAGUAAAAUUUAUUAUUCCAAACACAGCCUAACCAAAGGAGCCGUAUGAUAAGCAGAUAACAAAUUCAGAUUCCAGAGAAUUGGAUUUCUUCAGCUUCUACCAAUUUUCCACUUCAAGUAGGUUUCCACAUUUUCUAGCCCACAUAGCUGCUUUACAACUGGCAUGGUGGCAGGGACGGGUAAAUCAAAUGUUGAAUCAAGUCCCUCGAAGCUGCUGCUCCAUGAACGAAGCUGUUUUCGAGCUUCUUUAAUAGCUACUCUCGUUGCACAGUGAACCGAAGCUGCUAGAAGCAAUGGAGGCUCACCGGAAGCUGAAAAAUAAAAACAUAGUAUUCAACGAUCAACCUUGGUGUUUGUGAGUUUUUCCACCAUUCACAAUUUUGCUUUCUCUUUAAUCGAUAUUGCUAUGUUAGAAGUUUACAUCUUCUCAUGCACACCGAUUAUUGUUCAAAUAUUUACAUAUUGUUUUGAUUAUCGAGAUGUGAUAUUCCUAACCUGGUUUUGAUAUCAACUCACGUAAGACAAUAAGAGUUUAAGAUAAAACUUAGAGAAGUUUUAUUAAGAAUCAAACUUAGAGAUCUCGGAUUUCAAUAAGCAAAGCAAUAUCCCAAUAUUUAGAUAGUAAUCAUAAAUGGUUAUUUAAUAACUAAGGUGGAGUACUUUGUUUAUAAACUAAAAUAGAAUCGAAAUAGAAAUUCUUAAAAUCUAUCUAAGAAUUAUACGAAGUAGGAAAAUAAACUAAUUAAAUAGAAUAACUUAUAGUAGAAAAUAACUAAAUAGAAAAUAAUAAAUCAAUUCUAAUCGGAUACUAGUUCCUAAAUAACCUAGAUAAUUUAAUAAUGCAUAAACAUUACAAUUAUAUAAAUAUAUUUCAUUAUAGAAUUAUGUUCAUUAAAGGUAAAGAUCCCCCGGUUUUGUAUCAAUAAAUCACACGACAAAAACUUUCAUCAAAAGCAAUAAGAACCGUAUUGAUUAAAUUAACAUAAACUCUCAUGUAUGUCAAUGCAAAAUACCUUUUGAAGAGAGGACACAUUUCUGGUGAUUUCCACUAUUCAGUAAUUCAACAUUGAACUGCCUAGGUAUGGUAUCCACGGUAGGAAUUUUAUACUUCCAUGUGCCUUCAGGAACGACUAGUCCAUCUGAGUUUGUGAUAUAUUCUUCAAGCAUAAAAAAUCCGAUUCCUUGGACAAAAGCACCUUCAACCUGCACAAGGAAACUUUUAACAUAAAACAAUCUAGGAUAAUUUAAUUUGAUAUUUGAGAUGAAAAUGUUAGCGGUAGAACCCUGUCCUCAGCAUGCAUUAUCUUAGCAUGCUUGAACUGCAAAGCUGGCGAGAAACAAACGACAACAACAUCAAAAUUUUGAGUUAAGCCGGAAGAUACGCCAAAUUUAUCAUUCUUACCUGUCCUAGAUCCACAGCUGGAUUAAGGCUUUUGCCACAAUCAUAAAUGAUAUCUGCUUGCAAAAUCGUGACUGCUCCUGUCAAAAGGUCUAGUUCUACCUGUUCAUGAUGUCGUAGCUUCACAUUUAGUUCUUUCUGAAGGAUAUUUGAUAUGAAAAGGUUGUUUUUUCUAAAGUAGUGUAACAAGAAUCAGUGGCGUUGACCAUGUUCAAUAAGUGAGCUCCAAAUUUAAUUGAUAGAAAGAAAUUUUGAUGUCCAAACAAUAACUAAAACGAAGCAACAUUAAUCAAAUACCAAAACUUACCUCACUCACGGCAGCACCAUAGUUUAGGUAUGCCUUGGAAUUAAUUUCUGGAACAUAGUAAGAACUUGCCGAUAAAUUAGUGCUCUGUGCAUAUGCCUGCAUAAUGAUAGAUAAUACGAGUAAAAUCACAAAGUUCACCUUAGCCUCGUCAAGAAUACAUAUACCAAAAUGAUGGACGUUAGAACCUGUAGACAUUGAUAUUGUUAGAAUACAAUAUAUAUAUCCCUGUAACCCAUGAUUGGGCCUGCUUCUCCACACCCAUGGGCAAUCCACUUGCAUAUGAGGGAAAACAUUAAAAACUCAGAAUAAAAUAAGUGGGGUUUUCUUGUUUGCUUGACCUUGUGAGUACUAUUAGUCAUCUCACUUUAUUAUUUAAUAUUGUUUCAAAGGUUAAGGUAUUGAGCUCAAACUGUCUGAAUCUCAUUCAUGUAGGACAGAAAGUUUUAACACAAAAUUAAAAAGAAAAAUCAACAAAAAAUUGAGAGGCAUCAAAUUUCAAAUCAUCUCAAUUUCUCAAUAAUGUGAGAAUUAUACAUCUGCUUCAAGUUCAUAGGCCAACAGUUUUAUAACAUCUGCUCAUCCUCAAGAUUUUAAAUUAUCUACCAGAUCCAGUAAACUAAGUCUGAGUUUUCUAGAUAUGCAAUCUUAUUGAAUUAUAAUUGAAAUAGAAUAAAGUAUUGUAAGGUUUAUAACUUAUUGAAUCAUAAAUAAGGAAAGAGGGUUGGAUUAACCCCGAAAAAAGUGAUCCAAAAAUGGAUUUGACCUAAAGUUUCAGGGUAUGUCCGACCAAAGAUUUUACCCACAUAAUAGUGAAAUCCUGCAAAUAAAGCAAAAAUGGCUCCAUAGAAAGUACAUCAUGGAAAUGUGCAACCACAUAAUAAGUAUCAUGGAGAGCAAUGUCUAGCCCAGAAUUUGCUGGGACUAUUCCAGUGAGUCCUCCUAUGGCAAACAAAAAGAUGAACCCUAAGCAAAUAACACAGGUGUUUUGUAUUGUAUUAAUGUCCCAUGAAGAACUUGUGCAGUAUUUAUAAGGUAAUGGGACAGAGCCUAAAAAUAGAAUAUGCUAACCCAAAAAGAAAACUAACAAAGUGGCAAAAACAUAAUAUGGAAGCUUUAUUACAAUAGCCUGCUAAUUAUAUUGUAACAAUAAUCCAUAAUUAAACAGACAAUAGCAAGAUUUGUGACCAAACUAAUACAAGUUCAUUGGUACAUCUACUAAGUAUGAAGUAAGGGUAAUGCAUCAGACGAUGGGAACUUAAGGGCUUCCAGUCCCUCAGUUAAGAAAUUAAUGAAGUAUGCUAGAGAGUUCAGAAGUUUAAAUGAAAUACCUGUCUGAUCAAGGUGUCCCAAUUUACAGCACCGACUUCCUUUAGCAAUUUUUCCUUGAGAGGGAGAAGCCUCUCAACCAAGAUAUUGCAACAAAGUCUAAUGGCUUCACAGCAUGACUCAGAUGCUGUGCUUCCACCAGUAAUACCCCCUUGAAUCAUGCUUAAUGUAUCUGCUUGUACAACCCGUACUUUGUCUAACAGGUGGUUUUCUAUUGCAUCACAUUGGAUCAAACUGAGUCCAUAGGCAGCCAUUUGUUUUACUUUGGUCCAGAGUCCUUGGCCAAUUUCAAUGCCUCCCACCUCAACAACAACUGACCCAUCACUUAGAAUGCUUACCUUGCCUGGUUUGUUAAACUUUUUGACUUCAUGCACAAUGGGUACUCGAGAAAUACCUCUUUUUUGCCAUAUAUUGCACCUAUUGAACUCUUUGAUCAUUUCAGUCCUUUCGCUGAAGCUUGAAGACAUGGCCAAUUUAUCCCAUAUGCAAGGUAAAGUAUACUCCUGGAAUUCGCCAGCACUACCCUCAUAAAAUAUUUUAAGGCUGUCGAAUGUGUGGAGAUUAAUUUUUCUAACAGAAUCUACCUCAAUGGAAAGGGUAGAUGCAACAUGUUCAAUAACAGCUUCAGCAAUAUAUGAUCCCUGUAGCUCCCCAGGAGCUCGCAUUGUUGAUCUGCCUGGAAGGUUUGUUUUGCACACCUUUAUGUCAAAAGAUAGAGCACCCCAGUUAUAUUUUUUAAGUGCAUUUAUAAUGUUAUGUGGCAUAAGAAUUGGACUUAUAAUGGCAGCCAUCCCUGCAUCGAUUAAUAUAUCAAGUUUUAAAGCCGUAAUUUUUCCAUCAGAUCUGAAUCCCACACUGUAAGUUAUUUUCAUGGGAUGUCUUCCUCCUGCCAUUAUCAUAUCAGUUUUACGAUUGACAUAUAUCCUGACUGGACGCCGUAAUUUGUGUGCAGCCACUGCACAUGCUACAGCUACCUGAAAUCAUGUUCUGAGUUAUAAUAGUUUCACCAGGUAGAUUAUAAAAAUGAUAGAAAAGCUACAAUUUGUUCUAUCCUAUUCUAUUCUCAUUUAAAUCCUAUAUUUUAAUUACUUAACAUGUAAAAGUUAGUCAUAAUUUACAUAUUUGAUACAUAAUUAAAUUAACUUCAUUCAUAUCUUCAGUUCACAACUAUGAAUUUUGUAUUCCCAUCUAUUAAGCAAAAAAUCAUAAAGCCACCUAUUUUGAGUUCAUCUUGGAAUUAUAAUACAAUUUUUUAUUUAAAUUUGUAUGUUAUUUUCAUUUCUAUUUCAUAAAUUACAAUUUGAACUAAACUUAAUGAAAUAGUUGAAAAAUGACUAAAAGGUUUCAAACUAAUGAAAAAAUAAAAGAAAAUCAUUUAUGCAUUUUAUAUGGUUACAAGAUAUCACGUGUAAAAUAUGUGUAUUGGAGGAAAACUUGCCUUCAGUAGUCUAUAAAGGACAAGAUAAUAGGGAACUAGGAGAAGUAUAAUAGGCAAGACUGGGAAAGGACCAUAAUUUUAGACUACAAAAUUUUUAUAUUCGAAUACAGGGUCAACCACCAUUGGCUCAGCAAAAUUUUAGACUCAAAUUAUACCCCAAAUGUUUAAGGAAAAGCUGCUAAAACUGAUCGACUUGAACCUUUAUAUGUGAUCGUUGGCUUCAUUAAUCACAUUGUACCUCAUGGAGCUAAGUAAAAGAGGGAACUGAGAGACCUUGUGGAGGCUGGUGAGAACAGAGGCUAGAGGCUGGGAUUCAACAUGAAGUCUAGACUGGUGGAUCUGAACUGUGAUGUGGCAAUGGCUGUCCAGUGUAGGACAACUUGCACUGAUGUAGCACCACGAAAUAGAUAAAUAGAAAAACAGGUAGAAACAGAAAAUGUAGUCCACAAUUCAAACCACAAUAACAAGGUUGGUAAGCACUCAAUAAUGAGACUAUAUCUGAAGUGAGACCAGCAGGUGAAGUCUAGGUAGUAGUAUGUUCAAAAGUAUUAUGUAUUCUAAAGAUCAUUAAAUCAAAGAAAUCUUCCCUCUACUUCUUCCAUUAAACAAACAAACAAAGAGGAAAGCUAUUGAUAUUUUCUCAAAUACCUUACGCAGCAACUAGUAGGUUUGGUUUGGAGUUCUUUUAGAAGGCUCUAGGAGGGUAUCUUAUAAUCCAUCAUUGUAAUUUUUCUUUUCUGGUCCUUAAUAAUAUUUCUUUCUACUGAAAAAAGAAUAACUAGUAGGUUUGGUCGAAGACAAAACCAAGUGUGUGUACCUAUCUAAUCUAAAUGAAGACAAGCCCUUGUUGGCCUUUUGUUUUUUCAGAGGCCUUACAUAGGGCUUCCAACUUCUCGGACUGGACUAGGACCAGAAGUAUUAACAAGGAAUGCAGUGCCACUGCAUUCGACUACGCGGCCAAAUACAAGUUCUUAGUUACAUACAACUUAAGGAAGAACCUAUAACUUCCGUAAAUCUGUAGAAAAAUAAAUAUCCAUUGAUGAGGUUUUAAUUUUAUAAGUCAAAUUUAUGGCAAACUAACUCGACUUAUUUCACCAGGAGCCAAGAAGUCGGUGGCAUCUAUUCUCAUAACUGGAGGGGUUACCAGGGCAAACAGAAAAGUCAGCUAUUUAUUUUAGAAAUGUACAAAUACACGCAGAAUGAUACUCACAGGUAUGGACUUCAAGGCCUUUCCACCAAACCCUCCUCCCACUCUCCUUGUAAUCACCCGAACAUUAUGUUCAGGAACACCAAGACAUCUAGCAAUUGUCGUCUGUACAAAUUGAGGAGAUUGAGUUGAACUACAAACCACUAUACAGUUAUCUUCAUCUGGUACAGCAAGGGCAGUUUGUGUUUCCAUAUAGAAAUAAUAUUGUGAACCAAGUCUGAUCUGGAAAAGAUAAACCAGCCAAACAUGAGGACGAACUUGCAAAACAUGAAAACAAGUUCGUACGAAAAAAAAGGGAUAUAGAUGAUCAAGAAAUGAUAUGAAUGUAAAACCAAUAAAGUCUUGAACAAGCAGUAAAACAAGAGCUAUAUAGUAAAUAUAUUGAAAAACUGAUUGAUCGAAUAUCUCUUUGAAUUAUCUAAUUGUUACUGUUUAUAAAUAGUUGUUACCGGACCAAGAGACUACCCAGAAGAGAGCUGAAAGAAGGCUGAGGUUUAAAGAGAAGAGACCCUAGAAAAGAAGACCUGAAAUCUAGAGCUAAAGAGACAGAUUGAAUGCUGAACUACCUCGGCAGAAAUAAUUUUGUGGUCAGCUUCAGCCAUUCCUUUCGAUAAAUCACCAACCUGUCUCGGUUGAAAGAAAGGAAGGACCUCAAAAAAGCUAGACUUCAUAACAGCCUCCUCAACAGAUAAUAUAGGUAGUUCCAGAUUUUCUGUAUGAUAAUCAAUUACUGCAUGUUCUGCAGCCUCAUUUGCAUGUUUCUGUGUAUCUGCAACCUGAAAAGAGUAAUUCCAUGAUCAAAACAGUUCUGACACCAUUACAGUCAUCAUGAAAAUGUGUUGCUAAACAAGAAUACAAAGUCAUGGAAAUUACCACAAGGGCAACUCGGUGACCAAAACACUCAGCAAGUCCAUCUGCAAAUAAAGGUUCUGUAUAAGAAAAGGCUCCAGCACCUAUAUUCGCCCCGCCCUCUGGGAUGUCUUUGGAAGAAAUAAGUGCAAAGACUCCAUCUGGUAAUGAUUUUGUCCUGAAUGUGAUAUCUUUUAUGCGUGCUAAGGGCUUUGUACUGUAAAUGAAUGCUCCAUACAGGCAAUUUACUGGAGAAGGAAUGUCGUCCACAUAAACAGCCUCUCCUGUAUAUUUGGCUAGAUAAAUAAGGUAUGCAGUUGGAUUUACAUAAACUUGCAACAUUUAAUUAAUAGAAAUAAUAGAAAGCCAACAAAAGAAAUUUCACGGUUAUGUACUCUACAAAAUUUAACCAACAUCAACUAAAUGACAGUUCACUGUCUGCUAUUUGUUCAUGGAAUUCAUAAAUGAGAGAGAGAGACACACUCACACAGAGAGAUGAUGUUGUCAAUAUAUGAAGUUCAGUCAUAAAUUAGGAUGAAAGAAAUAUAAAAUAUUUAGCAUGUUAGCAAAUGUCAUUUGAACUUCAAACCCCUCCAUGAUUUUAGGCUUCUUGUACAACAGUUCAUGUUCCAAAUCAGCUAAUUAUUUCCUUGUCCAUCCCCAGUAGCAGAAGAAAGUGGAAGAUAAAUACUUCUUAUUAGGGAAUCUUUUCUUCCAGAAGUAUUUCCUUCUUCGCCUUCUUUUUCCCAGACAUACAAAAUGUUUCAUAAGUAAUAGGUCAAAGUGACAUCUCACGAACCAGAGGCUUGGAUGGAAGCUUCCAACUUUGUGAUUGGCUGCCCAACUGGAUCAUAUUCUUUACUUGACUUCAAAACCUGAUGACCUGACAUUAGAAAUGUUAAAUGUUUCCCAUCAUCAAACUGUCCAUAAGUCUGUUUUCCAUUAGAAUCCUUGGGCAUCAAAGAAUUCUUGCCCCAACCAAACCAUCCAUUAGAAAUGUCAGCAGUCUCAGUCAAGGAACUAAAGAACUUGAAAAGAAAACCAACAGCCAAACUUAACCGGUAACCAGGAUCUGUAAUAUCAUCAUCAGGUGCAAUGGUGCCUCGUAACAAUUUGACAACUUCAUAUAGAACUUCAUUAGUCAACAAUUUCCCAGUCAAAAAUUCUUCAGAUUUCCAUGCCCUGAUUACUUGCCUUUUCCCGCAAGCACCAAAAGCCAAUUUACAGUGGUUUAUCAUAAGUUUAUCAGAACUUCUACAGGGAGAAACCUCCACCAUGAAAGCAGCAUUUAGAUAAGCCAAUGCAUUUCCAGAGGGUCUUGAUGCAGCACGAUAUGUUUCAAAGAGCAACUUGCCAUUGAAUCUAGAAGAAAUAUCUAUACUUGGAGAACACUGUGGAAUUUUAACGCUCAAAAGAACACUGUUGGAAUCCAGUGGAGGCCUUUCAAGAAACUCUUCCAACCUAAGCUUUUCACACCUCAGACCGUUCAUUAUUUCUACCACUGUACCCACAACAAGCAGUAUCGUAGUAAUAUCUGAAGGAAACUGCUUCCUCUGUGCCAUUACUAAAUUUCCUCCUAUGCUGGCUGAAUUCCUUAUGAACCUUGUAGCAACCUUCUCCAUGUGAUCUGCAAUUUUUUUGAACACAACGGCACCUUGAGUGGGAUGCUCACCUCCAUUCCCUUCCUUCAAAGCUUCAAUAACUUUAGAAAUUGUCACAGCUGCUCCAAUUUCAAUCCCCGUCUUAUCUCUCUUAAUCCUUGAUAGCUCAGGAAUAUAUCUUAUAUCUAUGUAUUUAUCAUAAUCUCCUAGUUCCUUAAAAUACCCCAUACCUGUAUUACCCACAACUAACUUCAUUGAGGUGCCAUUAUCAGCCUUACUGGAUUCCAAUAUGCUUUGGAGAUUCUUGACGCUAACAGGAGUGUGCCAACAAAAUCUUCCGUGGUCUAGAAUCACAGUGGACCUUGUUUCCCUCUUGAGAAAUUCUGGGAAUGUGCAAGUCUGAUCAUUAUUUUUAUAUAAAGGUAACCUGCUUAGCUUUAUUUCCUUUGUUUCUCCUUUUUUCCAGAAGGAGUUAAACCCCAAAUCCUCGAUAUCAACAUCUGAAGCAAAACUUUUACAGACAUCAACAAUUGGUCGAUAACCAGUACAACGGCAAAGAUUUCCAGUAAUUGCAUUUUCAGCUUCCGACACUGUCAGUUUGGAGAACCCUGGGAAAGGCUGUGGCCGGUUGGUCUUAUCAGCAUUUACAAGAGCUGC